This 462-nucleotide ribosomal RNA is filed under the name Ausejanus meridionalis. Its description in RNAcentral is "partial 16S ribosomal RNA". The stretch from base 313 to 462 matches the Rfam family "Bacterial large subunit ribosomal RNA", at positions 2473 to 2622 of the family's 2925-position model. The record is from RNAcentral. Lineage: Eukaryota; Metazoa; Arthropoda; Insecta; Hemiptera; Miridae.
UGUACAAAGGUAGCAUAAUCAUUUGUCUCUUAAUUGGAGUCUGGAAUGAAUGGUUGGAUGAAAAAUUUACUUUCUUUAUUUUAAAUAAAUAAUUUGAUUUUUGUAUUAAAAAGUAUAAAUAUUAAUAAAGGACGAGAAGACCCUAUAGAACUUUAUUUUUUUAUAUUAAUUAUUUUUUAGUAAAUAAUUAUUAAUUAAUAGUAGAAAAUUUUGUUGGGGUGACAAAAAAAAAAUUAUAACUUUUUUUAAUUUAUUCAUAUAUAUAUGAUUUAUUGAUCCUUUAUUAAGGAAAAAAGAUUAAGUUACCUUAGGGAUAACAGCGUUAUUAUUUCAGAGAGUUCAUAUUGAUGAAAUAGUUUGCGACCUCGAUGUUGGAUUAAAAUUAAUUUCAGGAGUAGAAAAUUGAAAUAUUAGGUCUGUUCGACCUUUAAAUUUUUACAUGAUCUGAGUUCAAACCGGAGA